CGGGGUGUAGCGCAGUUUGGUAGCGCGUACGUCUGGGGGACGUGAGGUCGCUGGUUCGAAUCCAGUCAUCCCGACCA
This 77-nucleotide transfer RNA is filed under the name Zetaproteobacteria bacterium. RNAcentral's name for it is "tRNA-Pro". It matches the Rfam family "tRNA". From Rfam's summary of the family: Transfer RNA (tRNA) molecules are approximately 80 nucleotides in length. The record is from RNAcentral. Lineage: Bacteria; Pseudomonadati; Pseudomonadota; Candidatius Mariprofundia.